RNAcentral lists this ribosomal RNA (1372 nucleotides) under uncultured bacterium. RNAcentral describes it as "bacterial SSU rRNA". It matches the Rfam family "Bacterial small subunit ribosomal RNA", at positions 28 to 1381 of the family's 1533-position model. The record is from RNAcentral.
GAUGAACGCUGGCGGCGUGCCUAAUACACGCAAGUCGAGCGAACGGACGAGAAGCUUGCUUCUCUGAUGUUAGCGGCGGACGGGUGAGUAACACGUGGAUAACCUACCUAUAAGACUGGGAUAACUUCGGGAAACCGGAGCUAAUACCUGAUAAUAUUUUGAACCGCAUGGUUCAAAAGUGAAAGACGGUCUUGCUGUCACUUAUAGAUGGAUCCGCGCUGCAUUAGCUAGUUGGUAAGGUAACGGCUUACCAAGGCAACGAUGCAUAGCCGACCUGAGAGGGUGAUCGGCCGCACUGGAACUGAGACACGGUCCAGACUCCUACGGGAGGCAGCAGUAGGGAAUCUUCCGCAAUGGGCGAAAGCCUGACGGAGCAACGCCGCGUGAGUGAUGAAGGUCUUCGGAUCGUAAAACUCUGUUAUUAGGGAAGAACAUAUGUGUAAGUAACUGUGCACAUCUUGACGGUACCUAAUCAGAAAGCCACGGCUAACUACGUGCCAGCAGCCGCGGUAAUACGUAGGUGGCAAGCGUUAUCCGGAAUUAUUGGGCGUAAAGCGCGCGUAGGCGGUUUUUUAAGUCUGAUGUGAAAGCCCACGGCUCAACCGUGGAGGGUCAUUGGAAACUGGAAAACUUGAGUGCAGAAGAGGAAAGUGGAAUUCCAUGUGUAGCGGUGAAAUGCGCAGAGAUAUGGAGGAACACCAGUGGCGAAGGCGACUUUCUGGUCUGUAACUGACGCUGAUGUGCGAAAGCGUGGGGAUCAAACAGGAUUAGAUACCCUGGUAGUCCACGCCGUAAACGAUGAGUGCUAAGUGUUAGGGGGUUUCCGCCCCUUAGUGCUGCAGCUAACGCAUUAAGCACUCCGCCUGGGGAGUACGACCGCAAGGUUGAAACUCAAAGGAAUUGACGGGGACCCGCACAAGCGGUGGAGCAUGUGGUUUAAUUCGAAGCAACGCGAAGAACCUUACCAAAUCUUGACAUCCUUUGACAACUCUAGAGAUAGAGCUUUCCCCUUCGGGGGACAAAGUGACAGGUGGUGCAUGGUUGUCGUCAGCUCGUGUCGUGAGAUGUUGGGUUAAGUCCCGCAACGAGCGCAACCCUUAAGCUUAGUUGCCAUCAUUAAGUUGGGCACUCUAAGUUGACUGCCGGUGACAAACCGGAGGAAGGUGGGGAUGACGUCAAAUCAUCAUGCCCCUUAUGAUUUGGGCUACACACGUGCUACAAUGGACAAUACAAAGGGCAGCGAAACCGUGAGGUCAAGCAAAUCCCAUAAAGUUGUUCUCAGUUCGGAUUGUAGUCUGCAACUCGACUACAUGAAGCUGGAAUCGCUAGUAAUCGUAGAUCAGCAUGCUACGGUGAAUACGUUCCCGGGUCU